This is a long non-coding RNA of Pecten maximus, 300 nucleotides long. RefSeq lists it as uncharacterized. The transcript has 4 exons. NCBI's taxonomy places the organism in Eukaryota, Metazoa, Mollusca, Bivalvia, Pectinida, Pectinidae. The record is from RefSeq and is a predicted model, not a curated record.
AGUCAUAUCCUUUGAUUCAAGCAGCAUCCAGAGGUCAUGAAGAUACCGUUCGACUUCUUUUGAGAAAUGGAGCUGAUUGGAAUCAGCUGCAGGAUUUGAAGGCGAAACUAGCAAGUGGCCAAGCAAAUAGUGAGGAUCGGAGCCUCUACAGGGAUCUUAAUAAGGAUCAGAUUGCCAACAUCAAGGAGAAAUUAUCGUUAUCAUCGAAGUCAGAAAUCCAAGAACAUUUGUCUGAACAGACACGGCAAGAAAGAGAAGAGCAGCAGCACAACCAGCAGCAGCAGCAGCAACAACAACAAC